This 546-nucleotide ribosomal RNA is filed under the name uncultured bacterium. Its description in RNAcentral is "bacterial SSU rRNA". The stretch from base 64 to 546 matches the Rfam family "Bacterial small subunit ribosomal RNA", at positions 1 to 507 of the family's 1533-position model. The record is from RNAcentral.
AGACCAAAGGGUAAAGCAAAAAGUACUAAUACAAUUAAAUAAAAUGGUAGAAACAAAAGAAUAGCGAAGAAGAAGCAAAUGCGCUUCACGCUAAUUCCAAGUACCAACAACAAAACAAAUUCAAUGUUUGGUGAAGCAACUUGCUUAGUGGCGGACGGGUGAGUAACGCGUGAACAAUCUGCCCCGUACAAAGGGAUAGCCUCGGGAAACCGGGAUUAAAACCAUAUAACACUUAACUGCCGCAUGGUAGUGAAGUCAAAUCGAGUAAGAGGUAUGGGAUGAGUUCGCGUCUGAUUAGCUAGUUGGUGAGGUAAGGGCUCACCAAGGCGACGAUCAGUAGCCGGCCUGAGAGGGUGACCGGCCACACUGGAACUGAGACACGGUCCAGACUCCUACGGGAGGCAGCAGUGGGGAAUUUUGGGCAAUGGGGGAGACCCUGACCCAGCGACGCCGCGUGAGGGACGAAGGCCCUUGGGUCGUAAACCUCUUUUGCAGGGGAAGAAGUAGAUGACGGUACCUUGCGAAUAAGUCCCGGCUAACUACGUG